AUUUCUUUUUUUCAAAGUUUAUUCUCUCAGUGUCAUAUUCUAUGAUGUUAGUCAAAAGUGGCACAUUACUACACAACAACAACAAAAAAAAACCGUCAGAUUGUCUUACUCAUAGGAGUGUAUAUAAACCGAUAAGCCAUAAGAUUAAAACCACCUGUCUAAUAUUGUCUAGAUCCCCUUUGUGCCACCAAAACAGCUCUGACUUGUUGAGGCAUGGACUCCACAAGACCACUGAAGGUGUUCUGUGGUACCUGGCACCAAGAUGUUAGCAGCAGAUCCUUUAAGUCUUGUAAGUUGCGAGGUGGUAGCUUCAUGGAUCGGACUUGUUUGUCCAGCACAUCCCAGGAAUGUAGAGGCUGAGUCAACACCAUGAACAUGUUCUUUAUGUUCAUCAAACCAUUCCUGAACAAUUUUUGCAGUGUGGCAGGAGGCAUUAUCCUGCUGAAAGAGGCCACUGCCAUUAGGGAAUAUCAUUGCUAUGAAGGGAUGUACUUGGUCUGCAACAAUAUUUAGUGAAAAAAUGUCCUCAGCGUGAGCCACAGUGGGUAGUGGGCUCGGGAUGUGACUGAUGUAGAUGUCAGCACUGUGCCAUGAAUCCCUCAUGAUCCAUAGCUUUUUCACCUGCUGCCAUCUGUAUAGCCCCUCACCCGGGGCCACCCCAACUGAGGGACGCCAAGCAUCCAUGGAGAUGGUUAUUAUUAAUGACGACCAUGCACCAUGCUGGAAAACAUGGAGAUGAAAUAGUGUGUGAAAUCCACACCUGUUUGCAGUAGCAGAGGUGCUGUGGAUCCUUCCCCAGGACCACCUGACCCGGGAGUUUGCCGGGAGGUCGGAUCUUAUUGGUGAACACAGAGAGAUGGGAGUCUAGGCAUCAAUCUUUGAGAUGACAGCUGGAGAGAACUACUGAGGGAAUAUGACUAAUGAGAACAAAAGUCUGAGGGUCUAUCACUUAGAAUAAGUUUAGAAGUUUAGAAGGCUUGAUUCAAAACACUUUCUCAAAAUAGUUUACCUGAUGCUAAUCUGUUCAGCUCACAAACACACAGCAGUGUUACAACAUUUUACAGCUUUAAAG
Ictalurus punctatus (channel catfish) is the source of this 1072-nucleotide long non-coding RNA. The record is from Ensembl. NCBI's taxonomy places the organism in Eukaryota, Metazoa, Chordata, Actinopteri, Siluriformes, Ictaluridae.